GUUUUUCUCCUUUAAUGGCUCAUCCUUUCCUUCCUGGUAGCUAAGUGUGGUCACAUUCCAGCCAUCUGACCCUUGGCAUUCUCCUCUUCUCUCUCCACUCUGCUGGUCACAGCCAAGGAAAUGUCCUCUUCUCUUUGGACAAUGGUAGUUGUACUACUUAUCCUUUUAAGCAUCAAAACUUCUAUUAUUUUUAACUCUUUGGCUGGGGCGUCUGUCAAAUGUUUCAGCACUUUCCUGCUGGAGUGGAGACUGCUAGCUGGCCACCAAAUCUGCUCCCUCGUCUUCCGUAGUAAUGGAAACUGGACAUAUAGCUGCCCUGUGAUGUGAUUUCUCCAGCCUCUUCUGCAGUUAUUAGGUGUGGCCAUGCAUCUUAUCUUAGUUUCCUCCAAAACAGAGACUGAGACAAAGGCUUUCACGUGGGCAGUUUAUUUGGGAAUGUGUCUCUGGGAGCAAGAGUGAAGAACAAGGAAAUGAAACAGGGAAGGAUGGCUGUGUUCGUGAGUUGGCCAGGCUAUCUGCGACGGGUGCUCAAACUAGAGGACUUUCUAGUAAGUCUCAUGCAUGCAUCUCAGAGCUGUGUGCUUGGGGGAUGAAAGAGGAACGAUUUAUCCUUUGGCUUGCAUCCUCCAUUGAUCUGAGCCUUAGACUGUAAGAAUACCCCACAAACCUUAAACCUCCCUGUAUUUUGGGUUACACCUGUGUACGUGCCAACAGCAUCAAGGACAGACUAAGACAUAUGUAGCACUGGGCCCAAGACAAGGCACUGUCAUGUUGUACAGGCAAAGAACUGGUUGACGUCUGUGCAAAGCUGGUUACCAAAGCAGUGGCUGGAGUAAGAGCUAAAAGGAUUUGAAGUGGUGCACAAGAGGGCUCCUUAUAUCACUGUUCUCGCCUUCCCUAAGUCCAAUCCACAGAGUCUCCAUCAAGAAGGAUUUGAAGUGGUGCACAAGAGGGCUCCUUAUAUCACUGUUCUCGCCUUCCCUAAGUCCAAUCCACAGAGUCUCCAUCAAGAAGGUGGUCAGCUACAAUGUCUG
RNAcentral lists this long non-coding RNA (1034 nucleotides) under Equus caballus (horse). Its description in RNAcentral is "lncRNA (ENSECAG00000051242.1)". Lineage: Eukaryota; Metazoa; Chordata; Mammalia; Perissodactyla; Equidae. The record is from RNAcentral.